UCAACCUACGGGGGGCAGUAGGGAAUUUUCGUCAAUGGGCGCAAGCCUGAACGAGCAAUGCCGCGUGAACGAGGAAGGUCUUCGGAUCGUAAAGUUCUGUUGAAGGGGAAAAAAGGCAGCAUCAGGAAAUGGGUGCUGACUGAUGGUGCCCCGCCAGAAAGUCACGGCUAACUACGUGCCAGCAGCCGCGGUAAUACGUAAGUGGCGAGCGUUAUCCGGAAUGAUUGGGCGUAAAGGGUGCGCAGGCGGUCCUGCAAGUCUGGAGUGAAACGCAUGAGCUCAAACCAUGCAUGGCUUUGGAAAAU
Molecule: ribosomal RNA, 305 nt
Filed under: uncultured bacterium
Lineage: Bacteria
Description: bacterial SSU rRNA
Rfam family: Bacterial small subunit ribosomal RNA
Source: RNAcentral